GCGAUGUACCAAAUGCAACCUUAAAGAUAUUUAAGUGGUUAGAAGAAAAAAAAAGCACUAAUCUAAUUUUUAACAAAUAAAAUAUAUAUUAGUCCUAAAAUUGUCAUCCAAAAUUUAGCGUACUACAUGCAGCGAGAUCAAUUUAAUUGCGGUAGAUGAAAAGACCUUAUUGGAUCAGAAUGCAAGAGAUCCAACUAAAAUCUCGAAAAACCUAAUAUUGGGAUAGGUUUCCGUCACUUAAUCGACUACUCUGGCUU
RNAcentral lists this long non-coding RNA (257 nucleotides) under Elaeis guineensis (African oil palm). Its description in RNAcentral is "long non-coding RNA (EGUI_LNC011644)". The record is from RNAcentral. Lineage: Eukaryota; Viridiplantae; Streptophyta; Magnoliopsida; Arecales; Arecaceae.